RNAcentral lists this transfer RNA (77 nucleotides) under Rhodoferax sp. RNAcentral describes it as "tRNA-Ile". It matches the Rfam family "tRNA". Rfam says of the family: Transfer RNA (tRNA) molecules are approximately 80 nucleotides in length. Lineage: Bacteria; Pseudomonadati; Pseudomonadota; Betaproteobacteria; Burkholderiales; Comamonadaceae. The record is from RNAcentral. RNAcentral also lists the same sequence under 16 other names.
GGGGCGUUAGCUCAGUUGGUCAGAGCAGAGGACUCAUAAUCCUUUGGUCGUUGGUUCAAGUCCAACACGCCCUACCA